Scaptodrosophila lebanonensis is the source of this 1021-nucleotide RNA transcript. It is a transcript of the gene named transmembrane protein 256, with no coding region annotated. The transcript is spliced from 4 exons. The record is from RefSeq and is a predicted model, not a curated record. NCBI's taxonomy places the organism in Eukaryota, Metazoa, Arthropoda, Insecta, Diptera, Drosophilidae.
ACAUCACAUGCAUUUCUUUGCCAACUUUUAUAUAUAUACAGUCCGUAUAGCUGAAUAACGUAAAAGUUGUGGCUUGCUGGCACGGUGGCAACGCCGUACAUUCCAUGUCAACGCACACAAGCACACAUACACAAAAAUUUAUAUCGUAGGUGGCCACAGCUGGUCCAGCGGCAAGUGAGUUUUGUGAUUACCAAUUUAAAUAAACUGAAAUAAACCGCACAAUAAUGGCACUUGGUGAUACGCUCGACUAUAUAACACUGGGAAACCCGUUGAGUCGCGCCGUCAUAUCGUCUACAAGCGCAAUAUUUCGCAGCUUCGGUCUGCGUCCCAAGACGCUGCCCCCACCCGAAGCACCGCCAAUUAAGGAGGCCUAUCAACAAAUUGUGGUGGCUCAGAGCUCUUUGUACACCUAUGCCGGUCGCAACUACCAUUUUGUGCGGCUCGCCGGCUUGAGCGGCGCGUCGGCCAUUUUUAUGGGCGCUUAUUGCAAAUAUUUUCUCAAGGACAUUAGCGACCCAAAGGAGCAGCUGGAGAGUCAAUCAUUCGGCGAUGUGGCUAAUCGCAUACAUUUCCUGCAUUCCUUUGCCUUAAUGGCAAUGCCGCUGGCUCAUUACCCCAUAUUUACCGGCGUACUUAUGGCCACGGGCACGGUCCUCUUCAGCGGCUGCAUGUAUUAUCGCGCCUUGACGGGUGAUAAGAAAUUGCAGCAUUAUGCCACCAUUGGUGGCUUCUUCCUGAUUGCCGCCUGGAUGUCCUUGGUCUUUUAGUUCGAAUUACAGGUCUACACUUCUCAGCUGCAUGAGAGUAAUAUUUAUGCAAAGCAGCUGUUGGCGAACAUCACACACGCGCUAAUGGAAAAUAUCUGAUUUGCUUUUAAAAGUGAACUUUGUCGCUAAUGGAAGAUACUUGUGUUUCAUUUGUUUACAUUUAAAUGCAUAAAUUUUCUUUGUAAAAGAAAUGCAAGUCUAAUUGUACAUUAAUUCGAAAUAGAAAUCGAAAUCGUUGGAAAUGAAAUUAAACA